Molecule: ribosomal RNA, 235 nt
Filed under: uncultured Streptococcus sp.
Lineage: Bacteria; Bacillati; Bacillota; Bacilli; Lactobacillales; Streptococcaceae
Description: partial 16S ribosomal RNA
Rfam family: Bacterial small subunit ribosomal RNA
Source: RNAcentral
CGAACUGCCGUUGACAAACGGAGGAAGUGGGGAUGACGUCAAAUCAUCAUGCCCCUUAUGUCUGGGCUACACACGUGCUACAAUGGCCGGUACAACGAGUUGCGAGUCGGUGACGGCGAGCUAAUCUCUUAAAGCCAAUCUCAGUUCGGAUUGUAGGCUGCAACUCGCCUACAUGAAGUCGGAAUCGCUAGUAAUCGCGGAUCAGCACGCCGCGGUGAAUACGUUCCCGGGCCUU